RNAcentral lists this ribosomal RNA (1203 nucleotides) under metagenome. RNAcentral describes it as "bacterial SSU rRNA". It matches the Rfam family "Bacterial small subunit ribosomal RNA", at positions 243 to 1440 of the family's 1533-position model. The record is from RNAcentral.
AGCUAGUUGGUAGGGUAAUGGCCUACCAAGGCGACGAUAAGUAGCCGGCCUGAGAGGGUGACCGGCCACAUUGGGACUGAGACACGGCCCAAACUCCUACGGGAGGCAGCAGCUAAGAAUCUUCCGCAAUGGGCGCAAGCCUGACGGAGCGACGCCGCGUGGACGAAGAAUGCCGAGAGGUUGUAAAGUCCUUUUAUAUGCGAAGAAUAAUGUCUUUAGGUAAUGAUAGACAGAUGACGUUAGCAUAUGAAUAAGCUCCGGCCAAUUACGUGCCAGCAGCCGCGGUAACACGUAAGGAGCGAGCGUUGUUCGGAAUUAUUGGGCGUAAAGGGCAUGUAGGCGGUUAUAUAAGUCUGAUGUGAAAUCCCACAGCUUAACUGUGGAUCCGCAUUGGAAACUGUAUGACUUGAAUCAGUAAGGGGUAACCGGAAUUCCUAGUGUAGGGGUGAAAUCUGUUGAUAUUAGGAAGAACACCGAUGGCGAAGGCAGGUUACUGGUACAUGAUUGACGCUGAGAUGCGAAAGCGUAGGGAGCGAACAGGAUUAGAUACCCUGGUAGUCUACGCUGUAAACGAUGUGCACUUGGUGUCGGGGUUUCUAAGCCUCGGUGCCGUAGCUAACGCGUUAAGUGCACCGCCUGGGGAGUAUGCCGGCAACGGUGAAACUCAAAGGAAUUGACGGGGGCCCGCACAAGCGGUGGAGCAUGUGGUUUAAUUCGAUGAUACGCGAGAAACCUUACCAGGGUUUGACAUAUUUAUGGUCGACGUAGAGAUACGUAAUUCCCUUCGGGGACAUUUAUACAGGUGCUGCAUGGUUGUCGUCAGCUCGUGCCGUGAGGUGUUGGGUUAAGUCCCGCAACGAGCGCAACCCCUAUUGUCUGUUACCAUCAUUAAGUUGGGGACUCAGGCAAGACUGCCGGUGACAAACCGGAGGAAGGUGGGGACGACGUCAAAUCAUCAUGGCCCUUAUAUCCUGGGCUACACACGUGCUACAAUGGCCAGUACAGAGUGAAGCGAAGCCGCGAGGUGGAGCAAAACGCAGAAAGCUGGUCUCAGUUCGGAUUGGAGUCUGAAACUCGACUCCAUGAAGGUGGAAUCGCUAGUAAUCGCGCAUCAGCAUGGCGCGGUGAAUACGUUCCCGGGCCUUGUACACACCGCCCGUCACACCACCCGAGUUGGGGGUACCCGAAGUCGUUAGCUUAACC